AGGAUUUUAAGUUAUAUAAACUAAAGGCCUUCAAAGUCUAAAAAAAAAGAAUUCUCUUUUAAAUCCUA
This 68-nucleotide transfer RNA is filed under the name Portunus trituberculatus (swimming crab). Its description in RNAcentral is "tRNA-Trp". The record is from RNAcentral. Lineage: Eukaryota; Metazoa; Arthropoda; Malacostraca; Decapoda; Portunidae.